UACGGAGGAUGCGAGCGUUAUCCGGAUUUAUUGGGUUUAAAGGGUGCGUAGGCGGACUAAUUAGUCAGCGGUGAAAUUUUGCGGCUCAACCGUAAAACUGCCGUUGAAACUGUUAGUCUUGAGUGCGGUAGAGGUAGGCGGAAUGUGUGGUGUAGCGGUGAAAUGCUUAGAUAUCACACAGAACACCGAUUGCGUAGGCAGCUUACUGGAGCGCAACUGACGCUGAGGCACGAAAGCGUGGGGAUCGAACAGG
RNAcentral lists this ribosomal RNA (253 nucleotides) under uncultured bacterium. RNAcentral describes it as "partial 16S ribosomal RNA". It matches the Rfam family "Bacterial small subunit ribosomal RNA", at positions 524 to 776 of the family's 1533-position model. The record is from RNAcentral. RNAcentral also lists the same sequence under 1 other name.